This 626-nucleotide ribosomal RNA is filed under the name uncultured Wilcoxina. RNAcentral's name for it is "eukaryotic LSU rRNA". The stretch from base 257 to 410 matches the Rfam family "5.8S ribosomal RNA". Lineage: Eukaryota; Fungi; Ascomycota; Pezizomycetes; Pezizales; Pyronemataceae. The record is from RNAcentral.
UUGGUCAUUUAGAGGAAGUAAAAGUCGUAACAAGGUUUCCGUAGGUGAACCUGCGGAAGGAUCAUUAAAAGAAAUUGGUUAUACAUUUCAUGUAUCAACUGUUUAAACCCAUUCUGUGUACCUUGCCUGUUGCUUCCAUGGAGCCUGACUUUGGUCACUCUUGUGAUGUAAAUCCCAAGGGAGUCCCCAUGGAAGGUCAUCAAUAAAACUCAUGUAUCCAAUGUCUUCUGUCUGAACUGUUUAUAACAAUUGUUAAAACUUUCAACAACGGAUCUCUUGGUUCUCGCAUCGAUGAAGAACGCAGCGAAAUGCGAUAAGUAGUGUGAAUUGCAGAAUUCAGUGAAUCAUCGAAUCUUUGAACGCACAUUGCGCCUCCUGGUAUUCCGGGAGGCAUGCCUGUUCGAGCGUCAUUAAAUACCUCUCAAGCACCAUUGCUUGGUCAUGGAAGAUGAGUAUGCUUGCAUUCUCCCUUCUGAAAUUCAAAGGCGGAUCAUCUCAUAUUCCCUGGCGUAGUAAGUGUUUAUCUUUCGCUUGGAGUGUCUGACAGUCUUGCCAUCGACCCCCAUUAUUUCAAGGUUGACCUCGGAUCAGGUAGGGAUACCCGCUGAACUUAAGCAUAUCAAUAA